AGCGGCGGAUGGGUGAGUAACACGUGGGGAACCUGCCCCUAAGUCUGGGAUACCAUUUGGAAACAGGUGCUAAUACCGGAUAAUAAAGCAGAUCGCAUGAUCGGCUUUUGAAAGGCGGCGUAAGCUGUCGCUAAGGGAUGGCCCCGCGGUGCAUUAGCUAGUUGGUAAGGUAACGGCUUACCAAGGCGACGAUGCAUAGCCGAGUUGAGAGACUGAUCGGCCACAUUGGGACUGAGACACGGCCCAAACUCCUGCGGGAGGCAGCACUAGGGAAUCUUCCACAAUGGACGCAAAUCUGAUGGAGCAACGCCGCGUGAGUGAAGAAGGUUUUCGGAUCGUAAAGCUCUGUUGUUGGUGAAGAAGGAUAGAGGUAGUAACUGGCCUUUAUUUGACGGUAAUCAACCAGAAAGUCACGGCUAACUACGUGCCAGCAGCCGCGGUAAUACGUAGGUGGCAAGCGUUGUCCGGAUUUAUUGGGCGUAAAGCGAGCGCAGGCGGAAAAAUAAGUCUAAUGUGAAAGCCCUCGGCUUAACCGAGGAACUGCAUCGGAAACUGUUUUUCUUGAAUGCAGAAGAGGAGAGUGGAACUCCAUGUGUAGCGGUGGAAUGCGUAGAUAUAUAGAAGAACACCAGUGGCGAAGGCGGCUCUCUGGUCUGCAACUGACGCUGAGGCUCGAAAGCAUGGGUAGUGAACAGGAUUAGAUACCCUGGUAGUCCAUGCCGUAAACGAUGAGUGCUAAGUGU
RNAcentral lists this ribosomal RNA (743 nucleotides) under uncultured bacterium. RNAcentral describes it as "bacterial SSU rRNA". It matches the Rfam family "Bacterial small subunit ribosomal RNA", at positions 94 to 823 of the family's 1533-position model. The record is from RNAcentral.